CUGUUAGUUCUGCUUGCAAUUUAAAAAAAUUGUUCUGGUAAUACUCUGUUCAACACUACAAGUAAUUCUGCAUGAAGAGAAAGCUCCAAAUAUUAUAACAACCAUUCAGCAUUUCCAAUGAUCUUAGAUCCAUGCUUGGUGUGAAAACUGAAAACGAGAGAAAGGAAAUGCUGUGGCCAGGUCCAUCUGAUACUGUGAAAUAUUUCUCAUCUUGAUUUUCUCCUGGAUAAGAUCCUGGAGCUUG
This 244-nucleotide long non-coding RNA is filed under the name Pongo abelii (Sumatran orangutan). RNAcentral describes it as "lincRNA". Lineage: Eukaryota; Metazoa; Chordata; Mammalia; Primates; Hominidae. The record is from RNAcentral.